GCAUCUCCCGCAGGAGCUGUUGAAUCAGCACGCUGAAGAAGUACAGAGACUGGUGAACAAGCUGAUAAACUCAGACAGCAGCAAAAACUUCAAGAUCUAAAAUAGGCCCGGGCUUUUUUUAAAGUUACUGACAUGACGCUGGUCCUCACUUUUUGGAGUCUACUCCCUCAUUUCCAGGCUGAACAGGAAGCUGUACAACAACCGGUCUGACAAGUUACAAGUGGUGGACCUACAUCAUCUAGAUGUACAGGUACAAAUUCUACUAGUACGAUUCGAUGCAGUGGAAGAGGUUGAAGUUGACGUUUAAGCAGUCACCCUGCCGAACAAGAAAUCAGUCAGGCAAAGAGGCUAGGUUGACUAGAAACUCAAUCACUAUAUCCGUGAAACUUGCUGGAAGCUAUGUGUGGAGGUCGGACCGAAACUGUAAUCAGACACUAAACAUUAACGAGGACCAAUUAUUUUACUCCCUUAAUGAUGAAUAAAGAUCGCUGAUUGCUUUUACUAAUAUAUAGUGUUAAAAUGAAAAAGAAACUGUUGAGACGAAAGAGAAAAACGCACUCAUUUAUUUAUAGUUUUAUGUCUUAACAAUGUUAUUCGAAAGCUAAUUUUAAAAGCUGGCUCUGAAUCCUUGCUAAAUGAUUUGGGAAGGUGUAAGGGCUAAAUAUGCCUGUAGACAUCAUUUUCAGUGGGUUUUAUGAAGUUUAUGAUUAGGGUAUAUUUUGGGACUGAAAUAAGCGCAAGACCUUCGACGUUUCUAUUGCUACUGUUUUUUUAAUUUAGCAAAUAUACAAACAAAUUUUAUACUGUCGUAAAGAUAAAAUAUUUAGUUAUCGGAUAGAGACUUGAAAAUUAAGUAUUACAAUAACCAAGCUAAAAUAUUCAAUGUUAAACUCAAAAAUUUUCACGCGUUUAUGAAAAAAUAUUUAGUUCUGCGCGUAGUUUUUUGGUCACAUCUACGGCAAAUUUUCGCCAAUUUUGUUCAUAAUUUCAAAAUGUUAUUUAGUAGACAAAUUACUUUCGGACUACA
This is a long non-coding RNA of Bolinopsis microptera, 1027 nucleotides long. RefSeq lists it as uncharacterized. The transcript is spliced from 5 exons. The record is from RefSeq and is a predicted model, not a curated record. Lineage: Eukaryota; Metazoa; Ctenophora; Tentaculata; Lobata; Bolinopsidae.